GGCUACUAACAAAGUUCUACGCUAUCUUGGAGAGAAUGACUACAUCAACUAUGGAUUUUGGUGGUGCUCUCUCCUCUUUUCUGUUUUCUGGAUGAGCAAGCUUCAGUAAGAAGCUAUCGUCGAACCAGCUUGGGUUUCUCAGGAUAUCGUCGAUGAAACUCCUGUACCUUUUGCGGCGCAUUCGCGAGAUUUUUGGCCG
RNAcentral lists this long non-coding RNA (199 nucleotides) under Physcomitrium patens. RNAcentral's name for it is "long non-coding RNA (PPAT_LNC004620)". The record is from RNAcentral. Lineage: Eukaryota; Viridiplantae; Streptophyta; Bryopsida; Funariales; Funariaceae.